RNAcentral lists this ribosomal RNA (574 nucleotides) under uncultured bacterium. Its description in RNAcentral is "bacterial SSU rRNA". It matches the Rfam family "Bacterial small subunit ribosomal RNA", at positions 102 to 673 of the family's 1533-position model. The record is from RNAcentral.
ACGGGUGAGAAACGCGUAGGAAUCUGCCUUACAGAGGGGGACAACUAGAGGAAACUCUAGCUAAUACCGCAUAAUGUCUGCGGACCAAAGGCUGGGUAGUAAUAUCUGGCGCUGUAAGAGGAGCCUGCGUCCGAUUAGCUAGUUGGUGGGGUAAGAGCCUACCAAGGCGAUGAUCGGUAGCUGGUCUGAGAGGAUGAUCAGCCACACUGGGACUGAGACACGGCCCAGACUCCUACGGGAGGCAGCAGUGGGGAAUAUUGGACAAUGGGGGCAACCCUGAUCCAGCAAUACCGCGUGUGUGAAGAAGGCCUUCGGGUUGUAAAGCACUUUAGGUUGGGAAGAAGGUGUAUUGUUUAAGAGAUGAUACAUUUGACGGUACCGACAGAAUAAGCACCGGCUAACUCUGUGCCAGCAGCCGCGGUAAUACAGAGGGUGCAAGCGUUAAUCGGAGUUACUGGGCGUAAAGGGCGCGUAGGCGGUUAUUUAAGUGAGAUGUGAAAUCCCUGGGCUUAACCUAGGAACUGCAUCUUAUACUGGAUAGCUAGAGUAUUGUAGAGGGUAGUGGAAUUUCCGG